RNAcentral lists this ribosomal RNA (164 nucleotides) under uncultured bacterium. RNAcentral describes it as "partial 16S ribosomal RNA". It matches the Rfam family "Bacterial small subunit ribosomal RNA", at positions 355 to 511 of the family's 1533-position model. The record is from RNAcentral.
UAGGGAAUCUUCGGCAAUGGACGAAAGUCUGACCGAGCAACGCCGCGUGAGUGAAGAAGGUUUUCGGAUCGUAAAACUCUGUUGUUAGAGAAGAACAAGGGUGAGAGUAACUGUUCACCCCUUGACGGUAUCUAACCAGAAAGCCACGGCUAACUACGUGUCAG